RNAcentral lists this unclassified non-coding RNA (166 nucleotides) under uncultured Ascomycota. Its description in RNAcentral is "sequence contains ITS1". Lineage: Eukaryota; Fungi; Ascomycota. The record is from RNAcentral.
CAGUGUUCCCUGCCCUCCGGGGUAGGAUCGCCACCCGUGGUUACUUAUACGUGUUGCUUUGGCGGGCCUCGCGGCCUAGCCGCGCCCCGGCUCCGGCGGGGGAGCGCCCGCCAGAGGAUCUCCCAAACCUGAUUAUUAGUGUCGUCUGAGUACUAUAUAAUAGUUA